GACACUGACCUUUCUUUUUUUCCCAGGUAUACCUCAAAAGGAACAGCUCUUUAUGCCAUUUUCCUGCACUGGCCAGAAAAUGGAGUCUUAAACCUUGUAUCCCCUGUAACUACCUCGACUACACAGAUAACAAUGCUGGGGAUCCAGAAAGAUCUGAAGUGGUCCACAGGUCCAGAAGAAGGUCUGCUCAUUUAUCUGCCCCAGUUACCACUCUUUACUCUGCCAGUUGAGUUUGGUUGGACUAUCAAGCUGACAGGAGUGCAUUGAUCAUUGGAGUUCAGGCAGAACUGCCUCCUAUUUGCUGCUUUGGUUUUCCUCUUAUAGCACUGUCGUUGUAAUAAACUACUUCUCUACUCAGAGAUGGCUUUUCCAACACAUUUUAAUCAAAGGAACUGAGUGCAUUAUACUGAUGUCUCAAUGGAUCAGAGAUCUGAGAUCCAUUGCUAGCAUACCUCUCCCUGAUCAGCAGGAGGCACUAACCAGUUAAGCUCUGAAUUCAUCCUUCUAUUCCUAACCUGGGAAAUUAUCUAUCCCGGAAACUUCCCUCCAUUUUCUAUGUUUGAAACCUGUCUCCUUAAUCAAUGACUUCAGAUAAGGAAUGAGCCAGGUCACCCUACUGCCUAUGGAAGGAGGUGAAAAGGAUUUGGCAAGCUCAACCAUACGCUGUGUAUUUAGCAUCAGUUGUCACCAGCACCACUCAGAGAGGAAGAGAGCCUGGAAGGGAAGGAAAAGGCUUGCUAGGGCUGCUAGUGAUCAGCCCUUUGGAAGUUUCCAAAGCAAACUAGGGGCUCAGAAAGUCAGUCUGUUUACAGUGAUCUUAUGAAGAAAAUGAAUGUGAUUCUGCCCUGCUUUUUAAAAUAUCAAAUAAAUAAAUUUUUAUGUCA
Molecule: non-coding RNA, 884 nt
Organism: Leptonychotes weddellii (Weddell seal)
Lineage: Eukaryota; Metazoa; Chordata; Mammalia; Carnivora; Phocidae
Source: RefSeq, a predicted model, not a curated record